RNAcentral lists this transfer RNA (73 nucleotides) under Lachnospiraceae bacterium. RNAcentral's name for it is "tRNA-Thr". It matches the Rfam family "tRNA". From Rfam's summary of the family: Transfer RNA (tRNA) molecules are approximately 80 nucleotides in length. Their secondary structure includes four short double-helical elements and three loops (D, anti-codon, and T loops). RNAcentral also lists the same sequence under 1 other name. The record is from RNAcentral. Lineage: Bacteria; Bacillati; Bacillota; Clostridia; Lachnospirales; Lachnospiraceae.
GCUGAUGUGGCUCAGUCGGUAGAGCGUCGCCUUGGUAAGGCGGAGGUCACCAGUUCGAUUCUGGUCAUCAGCU